This 497-nucleotide ribosomal RNA is filed under the name uncultured bacterium. RNAcentral's name for it is "partial 16S ribosomal RNA". It matches the Rfam family "Bacterial small subunit ribosomal RNA", at positions 28 to 507 of the family's 1533-position model. The record is from RNAcentral.
GAUGAACGCUGGCGGCGUGCCUAAUACAUGCAAGUCGAGCGAACAGAUGAGGAGCUUGCUCCUCUGACGUUAGCGGCGGACGGGUGAGUAACACGUGGAUAACCUACCUAUAAGACUGGGAUAACUUCGGGAAACCGGAGCUAAUACCGGAUAAUAUAUUGAACCGCAUGGUUCAAUAGUGAAAGUCGGUUUUGCUGUCACUUAUAGAUGGAUCCGCGCCGCAUUAGCUAGUUGGUAAGGUAACGGCUUACCAAGGCAACGAUGCGUAGCCGACCUGAGAGGGUGAUCGGCCACACUGGAACUGAGACACGGUCCAGACUCCUACGGGAGGCAGCAGUAGGGAAUCUUCCGCAAAGGGCGAAAGCCUGACGGAGCAACGCCGCGUGAGUGAUGAAGGUCUUCGGAUCGUAAAACUCUGUUAUUAGGGAAGAACAAAUGUGUAAGUAACUAUGCACGUCUUGACGGUACCUAAUCAGAAAGCCACGGCUAACUACGUG